CGUGGUGUAGCUCAGUUGGUUAGAGCGUCAAGGUGCAUAACUUUGGGGGGUCAGCGGUUCGAAUCCGUUCACCACAACAA
Molecule: transfer RNA, 80 nt
Filed under: Chryseobacterium sp.
Lineage: Bacteria; Pseudomonadati; Bacteroidota; Flavobacteriia; Flavobacteriales; Weeksellaceae
Description: tRNA-Met
Rfam family: tRNA
About the family: Transfer RNA (tRNA) molecules are approximately 80 nucleotides in length. Their secondary structure includes four short double-helical elements and three loops (D, anti-codon, and T loops).
Source: RNAcentral